RNAcentral lists this ribosomal RNA (426 nucleotides) under uncultured bacterium. RNAcentral describes it as "partial 16S ribosomal RNA". It matches the Rfam family "Bacterial small subunit ribosomal RNA", at positions 354 to 796 of the family's 1533-position model. The record is from RNAcentral.
GUGAAGAAUUUUCCGCAAUGGGCGAAAGCCUGACGGAGCAAUGCCGCGUGAAGGAUGAAGGCCUAUGGGUUGUAAACUUCUUUUCUCAGAAAAGAAUUAUGACGGUAUCUGAGGAAUAAGCAUCGGCUAACUCUGUGCCAGCAGCCGCGGUAAGACAGAGGAUGCAAGCGUUAUCCGGAAUGAUUGGGCGUAAAGCGUCUGUAGGUUGUUUAAAAAGUAUUCUGUCAAAGAUUAGGGCUUAACCCUAGAUAGGCAGAAUAAACUUUUAAGCUAGAGUUUGGUAGAGGCAGAGGGAAUUCCCGGUGGAGCGGUGAAAUGCGUAGAUAUCGGGAGGAACACCAAAGGCGAAGGCACUCUGCUGGGCCAAUACUAACACUGAGAGACGAAAGCGAGGGGAGCAAAUGGGAUUAGAAACCCUAGUAGUCC